RNAcentral lists this ribosomal RNA (434 nucleotides) under uncultured bacterium. RNAcentral's name for it is "partial 16S ribosomal RNA". It matches the Rfam family "Bacterial small subunit ribosomal RNA", at positions 29 to 507 of the family's 1533-position model. The record is from RNAcentral.
AGCGAACGCUGGCGGCAGGCCUAACACAUGCAAGUCGAACGAACCUUUCGGGGUUAGUGGCGGACGGGUGAGUAACACGUGGGAACGUGCCUUUAAGUUCGGAAUAACUCAGGGAAACUUGUGCUAAUACCGAAUGUGCCCUUCGGGGGAAAGAUUUAUCGCCUUUAGAGCGGCCCGCGUCUGAUUAGCUAGUUGGUUGAGGUAAUGGCUCACCAAGGCGACGAUCAGUAGCUGGUCUGAGAGGAUGAUCAGCCACAUUGGGACUGAGACACGGCCCAAACUCCUACGGGAGGCAGCAGUGGGGAAUCUUGCGCAAUGGGCGAAAGCCUGACGCAGCCAUGCCGCGUGAAUGAUGAAGGUCUUAGGAUUGUAAAAUUCUUUCGCCGGGGACGAUAAUGACGGUACCCGGAGAAGAAGCCCCGGCUAACUUCGUG